AUUGAACGCUGGCGGCAUGCCUUACACAUGCAAGUCGAGCGGCAGCGCGGGGGCAACCCUGGCGGCGAGCGGCGGACGGGUGAGUAAUACAUCGGAACGUGUCCUUUCGUGGGGGAUAACCAGUCGAAAGAUUGGCUAAUACCGCAUGAGAUCGCAAGAUGAAAGCGAGGGACCCGAGGGUAACUUCGGGCCUCGCGCGAUUGGAGCGGCCGAUGUCGGAUAGCUAGUUGGCGGGGUAAAAGCCCACCAAGGCUACGAUCCGUAGCUGGUUUGAGAGAACGACCAGCCACACUGGGACUGAGACACGGCCCAGACUCCUACGGGAGGCAGCAGUGGGGAAUUUUGGACAAUGGGCGCAAGCCUGAUCCAGCCAUGCCGCGUGUGUGAAGAAGG
This 393-nucleotide ribosomal RNA is filed under the name uncultured bacterium. RNAcentral's name for it is "bacterial SSU rRNA". It matches the Rfam family "Bacterial small subunit ribosomal RNA", at positions 29 to 414 of the family's 1533-position model. The record is from RNAcentral.